GACGAACGCUGGCGGUGUGCUUAACACAUGCAAGUCGAACGGUAAGGCCCUUCCGGGGGUACACGAGUGGCGAACGGGUGAGUAACACGUGAGUAACCUGCCCUCAUCUCUGGGAUAACAGUCGGAAACGGUUGCUAAUACUGGAUAUGAGCUUGCAAGGCAUCUUGUGGGUUGGAAAGAUUUUUUGGUUGGGGAUGGACUCGCGGCCUAUCAGCUUGUUGGUGAGGUAGUGGCUCACCAAGGCUUCGACGGGUAGCCGGCCUGAGAGGGCGACCGGCCACAUUGGGACUGAGAUACGGCCCAGACUCCUACGGGAGGCAGCAGUGGGGAAUAUUGCACAAUGGACGGAAGUCUGAUGCAGCAACGCCGCGUGCGGGAUGACGGCCUUCGGGUUGUAAACCGCUUUCAAUUGUGACGAAGCUUU
RNAcentral lists this ribosomal RNA (424 nucleotides) under Arachnia propionica. RNAcentral's name for it is "bacterial SSU rRNA". It matches the Rfam family "Bacterial small subunit ribosomal RNA", at positions 28 to 454 of the family's 1533-position model. Lineage: Bacteria; Bacillati; Actinomycetota; Actinomycetes; Propionibacteriales; Propionibacteriaceae. The record is from RNAcentral.